This 274-nucleotide ribosomal RNA is filed under the name uncultured bacterium. RNAcentral describes it as "partial 16S ribosomal RNA". It matches the Rfam family "Bacterial small subunit ribosomal RNA", at positions 523 to 796 of the family's 1533-position model. The record is from RNAcentral.
AUACGGAGGGGGCUAGCGUUGUUCGGAAUUACUGGGCGUAAAGGGCGCGUAGGCGGACUAUCAAGUCAGGGGUGAAAGGCCUGGGCUCAACCCGGGAACUGCCUUUGAAACUGAAAGUCUAGAGUCCGAGAGAGGAUAGCGGAAUUCCCAGUGUAGAGGUGAAAUUCGUAGAUAUUGGGAAGAACACCAGUGGCGAAGGCGGCUAUCUGGCUCGGUACUGACGCUGAGGCGCGAAAGCGUGGGGAGCAAACAGGAUUAGAAACCCCUGUAGUCC